ACACAUGCAAGUCGAACGCCCCGCAAGGGGAGUGGCAGACGGGUGAGUAACGCGUGGGAACAUACCCUUUCCUGCGGAAUAGCUCCGGGAAACUGGAAUUAAUACCGCAUACGCCCUACGGGGGAAAGAUUUAUCGGGGAAGGAUUGGCCCGCGUUGGAUUAGCUAGUUGGUGGGGUAAAGGCCUACCAAGGCGACGAUCCAUAGCUGGUCUGAGAGGAUGAUCAGCCACAUUGGGACUGAGACACGGCCCAAACUCCUACGGGAGGCAGCAGUGGGGAAUAUUGGACAAUGGGCGCAAGCCUGAUCCAGCCAUGCCGCGUGAGUGAUGAAGGCCUUAGGGUUGUAAAGCUCUUUCACCGGAGAAGAUAAUGACGGUAUCCGGAGAAGAAGCCCCGGCUAACUUCGUGCCAGCAGCCGCGGUAAUACGAAGGGGGCUAGCGUUGUUCGGAAUUACUGGGCGUAAAGCGCACGUAGGCGGAUAUUUAAGUCAGGGGUGAAAUCCCAGAGCUCAACUCUGGAACUGCCUUUGAUACUGGGUAUCUUGAGUAUGGAAGAGGUAAGUGGAAUUCCGAGUGUAGAGGUGAAAUUCGUAGAUAUUC
RNAcentral lists this ribosomal RNA (600 nucleotides) under unidentified microorganism. RNAcentral's name for it is "bacterial SSU rRNA". It matches the Rfam family "Bacterial small subunit ribosomal RNA", at positions 51 to 699 of the family's 1533-position model. The record is from RNAcentral.